This 400-nucleotide ribosomal RNA is filed under the name uncultured bacterium. Its description in RNAcentral is "bacterial SSU rRNA". It matches the Rfam family "Bacterial small subunit ribosomal RNA", at positions 355 to 771 of the family's 1533-position model. The record is from RNAcentral.
UAACGAAUCUUCCGCAAUGCGCGAAAGCGUGACGGGGCAAUGCCGCGUGUGGGAUGAAGCCCUUCGGGGUGUAAACCACUGUCAGGGUCCACCAAAAACACGAGGAGACCCAAAGGAAGAGCCGGCUAACUCUGUGCCAGCAGCCGCGGUAAUACAGAGGGCUCGAGCGUUAAUCGGAAUCACUGGGCUUAAAGCGUGCGUAGGCGGAUCUGAAGGCGCCUUGUGAAAUCCCUCGGCUCAACCGAGGAACUGCUUGGCGAACCACGGAUCUUGAGGUCGGUAGAGGUGGUCGGAACGAUAGGUGGAGCGGUGAAAUGCGUAGAUAUCUAUCGGAACGCCAAUGGUGCAGACAGGCCACUGGGCCGCACCUGACGCUGAGGCACGAAAGCGUGGGGAUCAA